AAAAAGCUCGUAGUUGGAUUUGUGGUGGGCCCGGUGGCUCGGCCUUAGUUGGCCGUUGCUGUUUGUCCCGCCAUCCUUGGGUGGAAUCAGUGUGGCAUUAAGUUGUCGCGCUGGGGAUGCCCAUCGUUUACUGUGAAAAAAUUAGAGUGUUCAAAGCAGGCUUACGCCGUUGAAUAUAUUAGCAUGGAAUAAUGAGAUAGGACCUUGGUACUAUUUUGUUGGUUUGCGCACCGAGGUAAUGAUUAAUAGGGACAGUUGGGGGUAUUCGUAUUCCAUUGUCAGAGGUGAAAUUCUUGGAUUUCUGGAAGACGAACUACUGCGAAAGCAUUUACCAAGGAUGUUUUCAUUAAUCAAGAACGAAAGUUAG
This 367-nucleotide ribosomal RNA is filed under the name Chaetoceros muelleri. RNAcentral's name for it is "SSU rRNA". It matches the Rfam family "Eukaryotic small subunit ribosomal RNA", at positions 621 to 993 of the family's 1831-position model. Lineage: Eukaryota; Bacillariophyta; Thalassiosirophyceae; Chaetocerotales; Chaetocerotaceae. The record is from RNAcentral.